AACGCACAUUGCGCCCGCUAGUACUCUAGCGGGCAUGCCUGUUCGAGCGUCAUUUCAACCCUCAAGCCCUGCUUGGUGUUGGGGCCCCACGGCUGCCGUGGGCCCUGAAAGGAAGUGGCGGGCUCGCUACAACUCCGAGCGUAGUAAUUCAUUAUCUCGCUUAGGGCGUUGUGCGGUGCUCCUGCCGUUAAAGCACCCCUUUAACUCAAGGUUGACCUCGGAUCAGGUAGGAAUACCCGCUGAACUUAA
RNAcentral lists this unclassified non-coding RNA (249 nucleotides) under uncultured fungus. RNAcentral describes it as "partial contains 5.8S ribosomal RNA, internal transcribed spacer 2, and large subunit ribosomal RNA". The stretch from base 1 to 52 matches the Rfam family "5.8S ribosomal RNA", at positions 103 to 154 of the family's 154-position model. Lineage: Eukaryota; Fungi. The record is from RNAcentral. RNAcentral also lists the same sequence under 1 other name.